GCGUUUUUCCCGAUUUGCUCCCUCUGUUUCUCACAGUUUCUGCCGAUUUGCUCAGUUUCUGCCGGUUUGCGUCUUCUGUUUCUUUUCUUUUUCUUUACAACAUUACGGUUGGCCUUCUCAACCAGUCAACCUUUUCUUUUCUUUUCUCUCUGUCACUCUUUCGAUUGCUCUCAGUUGGUGGGUUUCUAAGUUACUGCAACUGAAAGGUAAAUGUUUCUAACUCUCUUUUUCUCUCUGUAAUGAGUUUCAUUGGCUGCCUUGUUAGGGCAUGGUUUAUUCAGAGGUAACAGAGG
This 293-nucleotide long non-coding RNA is filed under the name Gossypium barbadense (sea-island cotton). RNAcentral's name for it is "long non-coding RNA (GBAR_LNC022546)". The record is from RNAcentral. Lineage: Eukaryota; Viridiplantae; Streptophyta; Magnoliopsida; Malvales; Malvaceae.